GGGCGGGCGGCGGGGCGGGGGGGCGGCGGCGAGAAGCCCUCCCCUCUGCCCGGCGCCCCCCCCCGGCUGCGCCGCCCGCCCGGCGCCCCCCGCCGCCCGGCAGCAGCGCCUCCGACCCGCCACCCAUCGCUGGAUGUUCCUCCACUUUACCCACCGUAUCAAACAACUUUUACCAGUAAAUAUCGGUUUAUUCCUGAAACCAGAAGCCCUAAACAUACCUUUGUUUAUAAGGUCAGUUGUCAUUUUGUCUCUCUCGUUCCCCGCUCCCCCCCAGUACAAACCGGCAGGUGAUUGAAAGGUACCGAGUUUUCUUUCUAGUUUUCCUGCUCUGCAUCUCUGGGAACUGGAGCCCGCAGGACCUAGAGCCUUCUGUUGGUAACGUAGACCCGAGUUUACAAAUUAUUCUUUUACCGUUUUAAAGCCUGCUUUUAAGGACAGAGGUGUUCCCGGCUGCCCACUACGGGAACUGAUAGGAACCCCUGCAAAUGCAUAAAUUGCUUGACCUCUCCAAAGCCAACGGGUAGGUCCCUCACAAGCAUCUUCAGACUUGGGGCUGAGAAAAUAAUUUAUCCAAAAAUAUUCACUAAAAAAUGCCAUUUCUGUUUUACAGUGAGCAGGACUGGGGGAGGGAAGGGCGGGAAAGGAACUUGAAAAUUAUUUUCUCCCCCCCCCAUUUUUUUCUAAUUUGCUGCUAGAAAGCAAGUAUGACGUGGGGAGGAGGGAGAGAAUUUGAAUGUUGCCCUUCCUAAAUUUGCUGUAAACUCUUCCUCCAAGGCAAGGAGAAAGGGCAAGUAAAAGGUCUGAUCCUUAAAAGGACAUUGCUAGGUGUCGGGGACCCCAAAAGCAGCUGGCGCUUUUUAAUGACGGGAAUUGCUUUAGGUCAUUUUUUCAGAGUUUUGGUUUAUACCAAGACAAAUUGACUUGGGAGUGUUGAAGCCUCCUUUUUUUUUCCGCAAGUGUUUGCGACCCAAACACAACAGCGUUAUGCUAAUACUCAAGAAACAGAGAAGCUGGUGAGGAAUAGAAAAUGAGUUGACUGCACAGUCCCAGCCAAUUUUUUUCUCCCAAGCAAAUAAAAUGAAAAAAAAAAAAAAAAAACCCCCAAAAAAAAAAACCAACCCAGCCCCAACACCCAAAAAACGCAACCUCCCAAAAAAGCAAGCCAAAGAGGAUCUCAAAUGCCUAGCCUGGUUUUAUUGUACAUGGUUGGCAAGAGCGUUUUUGGCAUAGCUGCAACCUAACUAUGUCCCUUUAAGGAGCACCAGCAGCUAAUUUCCUCCUAAUGAACCCAAAAGCUGAGGUUUUUGCAGUUUUUGAGUGCAGAUCAAAGCUCCUGCAGCCUUAGUUGGAGUCCAAAAUGAGGGGAGCCCUUCCAGCUGUGCACUUUGAGCUGAAAACUACCUUUCCUCCCCUUUUGCAGCCUGGGUGGUUCUGAUUGCUGGCAGUUCUGUAAUACAACUUUAAUCUGAGCAAUUGAGGCUGGUCCUACAUUAUCUUCAGACGUCUUGCGGAGGACUCCUGUUACCAGUUUGGUACUCAAAAGCUACACCCCACCAUCAGAAGUCACUUACUUUUUUUUCAAAGGCAGUGAUAGAUUACCCUCUCUAGCUCUAAUGGAAAAAUGAUAAUUGCAAUGCAACUUUCUAAUAAAUUGUUCAUAUAUUCAUAAUUCCGUUGCAAUCCCAAAUUGGAGAAGAGAUCUGUUAAAGGUAUAUAUUAGUCUAGAUUUUUUCUUAUUGUAAAUACUGUAAUUUUAUAAUACUGUCAAUAUUUUAUUAACUUAGAAAUAUUUAACAGAGUUUAAUCUAUGGUAGUUGAUUUAUUUAUAGGUUUAUGUUGCAGCCAAUAUUGCAUUACAUUCUAAUGUAAGAUUAACUUUCAGCGUGUAAACAUUGAUUUAAUAUACCAUUGGAAAGAUUAAGAGAGAAAACUCUCACUCUUAAUCUGUAAUAUUUAUCCCCCAAUUUCCAGUUUGGAAUUAUUUAACGAAAUAUUAGGAGGUUUCAAGAGCUCAUGAAUCUAACAACUGCUGGAUUUGAAAACUUGAAUUUUGAAAUGUACCUGGCUCUUUCACCCUGUGAACAAGUUUGCUUCAAUAUCUAAUCUAUAUAGUACGGAAGUCUUUAUUUUGAGCAAAGGGACACUGUCAGAUAAUUUUAGAUUCUUGUUUGGGGGGGGGGGGAGCAAAACUCACCCCCAGUGCAUGUGUCUUAAUUCUUUUUUAAUCUCAAGGGGAAAAAAUCUGUUUCUUGUUCAUUUGGGUAUUUGGCUGGAAACAUUCCCGCAGCAGUUUGCAUCCGUGCAGCCAGGGCUCGGGUGGAAAUCCAGCCACUACGAGGAGUCUCUCCAGUCCCGGCGAGAGGCGAGAUGCCUGGCGGUGCUGCCACGGUCCUGCCAUCCCUGGCACCGACUGCAGUCGGAGCUCGGUGAGAUGGGUGAAAGUGCACAAGGUCUAAAACUUGCCAAUUUUUGAACAAAGUUUUUGCUUUUUUUUUAAAAUUACUCUCUCUCUCUUUUAGCCUGAUGGUGUCCCUUUAACAGCAUAAAGAUGUUCACGUUCUCUGAAAAACCUUUAGAAAUUAUUUUCUUUUUAAGGCAGGGGAGAAUUGGUCUGUAAUAUGUUUGCAACGUAACUUGCAUAAAAAUACCAAAAAUAUAUCAAGGGUUUUCACGGGAGUUGGUAUUUUUUGAGUGUAAAAGUUAAUCUUUAUUAGAGAUGUGCCAAUCUAUACUGCUUUAUUGUAGUGUUGUUACACUUAGGCGUUUCAGUUAACUUACGAAUAUAUACUGUAACAGUAUACUUUGUACAGAUUUAUUUAAAAUUUAUUUGAAAACUGAAAUAAAGUAGGCAGAAAAUAAAGAUAUUUAUUUUUCAUUUGACUAUGUAAGAAGGUAUCAUUCUUUUGGUUUUAGUGCACUGGUGUACCAAGCCUCAGAACCACUGCUUUCUCCAGCUCAUAGGAUGCUUUUCCGAGACUGUGGAUACGUGUUUGUGUACUGCUGUGUUGAUAAGUAAAUGCCAACGAUGGAGUUCGUUGCUUUUAUACAUCCCAAAGAGAAGUUCUCCACCGUUCAUUUUCUGUUUUCUGACCGAAAAGGCGUGUGUUUGUGAACAGUGUUCACGCAAGUUCUGCCAUCCCACUCUCACAUCAGCUUAUACCAAUGCCAGGAUGGGAGGAUUUGCCUGCGUACCUUCCCCAAAACACCCCGGUCCGCAGUGGCAUCGUCAGGGAGCAGUUCAAAUGUGUGUCCUUUGGGCUUUGUGUAAAGCAAACGCAGAACAAGAAAAAUCAAGAUGUUAAAUCCAUUAGAAAACAAAUUCCUUAUUGUACAGUAGUAUGGAGAUCUCUAGUCAACCUGCCAUUAAUAAUAGAUUCUUAUUUUUUGAAUGAUCUAUUUAAAAGAACAGCAAGCAUUGUAUUUGCUAGUAAAUCUGAAGUGUUUACAUGGAAUUACUAAAUAAAUUAUUUGAUCUAA
Molecule: long non-coding RNA, 3477 nt
Organism: Aquila chrysaetos chrysaetos
Lineage: Eukaryota; Metazoa; Chordata; Aves; Accipitriformes; Accipitridae
Exons: 2
Source: RefSeq, a predicted model, not a curated record